This 94-nucleotide transfer RNA is filed under the name Plenodomus lingam JN3. RNAcentral describes it as "tRNA-Gly for anticodon GCC". It matches the Rfam family "tRNA". From Rfam's summary of the family: Transfer RNA (tRNA) molecules are approximately 80 nucleotides in length. Their secondary structure includes four short double-helical elements and three loops (D, anti-codon, and T loops). Further hydrogen bonds mediate the characteristic L-shaped molecular structure. tRNAs have two regions of fundamental functional importance: the anti-codon, which is responsible for specific mRNA codon recognition, and the 3' end, to which the tRNAs corresponding amino acid is attached (by aminoacyl-tRNA synthetases). tRNAs cope with the degeneracy of the genetic code in two manners: having more than one tRNA (with a specific anti-codon) for a particular amino acid; and 'wobble' base-pairing, i.e. permitting non-standard base-pairing at the 3rd anti-codon position. The record is from RNAcentral. Lineage: Eukaryota; Fungi; Ascomycota; Dothideomycetes; Pleosporales; Leptosphaeriaceae.
GCAUUGGUGGUUUAGUGGUAAAAUUAGCCGUUGCCAUUUGUCUUCACAGACGUCCAGCGUCGGCUAGCCCCGAGUUCGAUUCUCGGUCAAUGCA